This 70-nucleotide transfer RNA is filed under the name Mesonia sp. K4-1. Its description in RNAcentral is "tRNA-Met". It matches the Rfam family "tRNA". Rfam says of the family: Transfer RNA (tRNA) molecules are approximately 80 nucleotides in length. Their secondary structure includes four short double-helical elements and three loops (D, anti-codon, and T loops). The record is from RNAcentral. Lineage: Bacteria; Pseudomonadati; Bacteroidota; Flavobacteriia; Flavobacteriales; Flavobacteriaceae.
CAGGAUAAAAAAGAGGUAUCUCGCUGGGCUCAUUAUCCAGAAGUCACAGGUUCGAACCCUGUUCCUGCUA